Molecule: ribosomal RNA, 540 nt
Filed under: uncultured eukaryote
Lineage: Eukaryota
Description: bacterial SSU rRNA
Rfam family: Eukaryotic small subunit ribosomal RNA
Source: RNAcentral
GGGGACCCUACGGGUGCCGCGUUCGGAAUGAGUACGAUUCGAACCACCUAACGAGGAACGAUCGGAGGGCAAGUCUGGUGCCAGCAGCCGCGGUAAUUCCAGCUCCAAUAGCGUACGUUAAAAGUUGCUGCAGUUAAAAAGCUCGUAGUUGAACGUUCGGGUUCCGCGGGACGGGGCCGCCCCGCGAGGGACGGCGCCGCCCCGGGGCUCGUGAUAUCUUAUCUCGCCGCCCGUCGCGAGGCGGACGGAGGGGAUGGGAUGAGGUUACCUGGAAAAAAUCGGGGCGAUCUAGGCGGGCGAACCUCGCCAACGAACGAUCGGACAUGGGGAUAACGGAAGAGGGCGUCGGCUCGACUUCGUCGGUUCCUCGGGCCGAGGCACGUACGGUGAAUAGGGACGGUCGGGGGCCGCCCGUACCGGGUCGUGAGAGGUGAAAUUCUAGGAUCGACCCGAGACGAACUGCCGCGAAAGCAUUCGGCAAGGACGCUUUCAUUAAUCAAGAACGAAAGUACGGGGGAGUCGAAGACGAUCAGAUACCGU